RNAcentral lists this non-coding RNA (29 nucleotides) under Rattus norvegicus (Norway rat). Lineage: Eukaryota; Metazoa; Chordata; Mammalia; Rodentia; Muridae. The record is from RNAcentral.
UGGUCCCAACGGUGUUUUAUACUUCGGGC